GCCCCGCCGCCCCGCCGCCCUUUUAUCGCGGCGCUGAGGAAUGCGGCCCCGGCCGUCGCCAUAUUUGGGCCGCGGGGCCCGGCGCGGCCCCGGCCCGGCGCUGCCCAAAGAAGGCGCUGCUGGACGCGGCCCAGGGGAGGCAGGAGAGGAGGAAGAAAGAGUAAACCAGAAGUGUUCCCAUUGUGAGGAGUCGCCUGAAAGCAAGGCAGUGCUGGAGUUACUGCCUCCCCUGCGAUGCAGCACGAGAAGGGUCAGUGCAGAAGCGAGCAGCUCUUCGUCUCCGUGCCCGCAUCCUCUGGCUUGGCAGCGUGCUUUACCUCUGGCAGCUCCCUGUCUCCUUCUGCUAUACAUUUUCAUUCCCUGUCAUGUUAUUGUGUUAAAUUAUACGGGGGAUAAAAGAUGCUGUUCCCUCACGCUAUUUUUCAACUCGCGUUAUUAUUCUUCAGUUCUGUCAUCUACAGCUGGCAGUACACAAACCAGAAGCCCGAAAGCACUUAAGGGAAUCACAGCCAUCACAUUUAUUUGCAGAGCUGUGAGACUCCCGGCUUCCAAAAUACAGUCAGUCGUGUUGAUUAGGCUGUGACUCUGAAAUCAAGUUGUGUUUGUAACAGAAAUCCCGCCUAAAACAUUAACGCUGCUGAAAGAUAAACAUUCUCAAUGGUCCUUCAGGGAAAGCGGACACAAGCCUAAACUUACUCUUUACCCGUGGUUUCUCUUUAUUUUCUCUUUACCCUAAAUACAGUUCAAAGCAAAACAGUGACAGUGUUGGACUCACUAAAUCAAUCUGACUUAGGCUGUAAGUCAGAAAACAUUUUAGUUUCCGAAAGAGAGCACAAAGAAAACCACUGUACACAACGACCAACUAAUAAAACCUACCACAAAUGGCAAUUGCCAAACUUUCCUGCUACUCUUAUGACAAUAGAGGAUAGAAGCAUGAGCAUUUUGUACCGUGUGUAUUGCCCAUCAAUGAAGAAGUAACUAUUUAAGAAACAAAACACACCACCUUAUUCUAAAGGAGCUGUCCACACUCCUUUAGCUGUUUCAGUCAAAACCUGCUGUUUUAUGUUCCAGCUUUCCUAAUUGUUUCCAAGUGUGGCAAAACCAGAGCUCCUGCGUGACCUUUGAUAUGCAGUGGUAAAUGAAGGCAUCCUCCCCAUACAGUAACCCGAGACAAGAGUUCUGUGUAAGAGCGACUUAUUACAUAAUGAAACGGGGCUAUUCCUCCUCGCCAUUUCCAAAUCCCCGACUUUUCAAGCUCCUUAACACAACAGCGAACCAAUUUAACAUUCCUAGCACGAGAGAACACUUAACUUCAGUUUAGGCAUGGAAGUUAUUUUAAUGAGGUUUUAUUUAAGUAAACCCAUUGCCCGUAGCCUUCUGUUUUGGCAAUAGACAGAUGAAAGGCAUUGUACAAAUGCCAAAUACCUCCUAACCCUGCAGUAGAAUAAAACAUUAAUUGUGAAGACUACAUGGCUGAUCGCUUCCUGAGAACUUGCAGAGUGCUUUUACACCAACCGGAAUAAACACAUCUCACAAAGGAAGCCAAGAGCUUUGAAGCAGACUGAUAGCUACGGGUGGACAGAAACGCGUCCUUCUCGAGGAAGCUUUCCUGGGCUUACCCUGUCAGUCCUAACAGAAUACAGGCAGCCGACAGUCUAGGAAGGCAUGACAUAUCCCUGAAGGAUUUUACUGUGGACAGUCAAUUAAAGAAAUUCCUCCUCAAGCAAAACGUGUCUAGUAAAAGUUCAGGUAGAACAUAUUUCAGCAGGGGAUGUCAAUCAUCUGUUACAGUAUUCCCUUUCCCUUAAAAUGUUACGUUUAUCAAUAACAUGAAACCACCUUUAAAGUGAUAUUUAAACAAAGAGGUGGGAUUUUUCUAAUGGCUUAAAUGACCCACUUCCUUGAAACCACAGCUAGGAGCUGGACCCACACUUCAUAAUCAACCACGUAAGACAGCAGAAGAGCAGAGUUCGUUUCUUAGAACAAUCUUAGAAGAUGACUGCUAAUGCAUUUCUUUCCCAUAUUAGUUAGAACCUCUCUAGAUAAAGCUAUUCUUCCAAACAUGUUCAGACUCUCAGCCCAGCUUACUGUAUUAGUACAGGGAGGAGGGGAAGCAACGGAAGGGGAGCUGCGCUUUUAAAACUAGAAACUGGAUUCUCUUCAACCGAUUUAACUUCUGACCUUCUCAGCUGUUGGAUCAAGUUGUUGCAGCAGGCAUCUCGCCAGACAAGUAAAACAUAAGGGCAUGCAACUUGCUCUGCAUUCAUUCUCUUCAUGUUAAGCUACUUGCAAAGGAAAGGUGCAACGUGACAGAUUAAAGUAACACUGAUUUAAUUUAAAAAUUAAAAUCUGCUACCACCCAGAAUAACGAAAAUGGAUUUAUUGAUUUUGUCCUCCCACAUUAGAGAUAACAGGGACAAUGUGGUGGUAAAAAAAAAAGAAAAAAGAAAAAAAAAAAAA
Anas platyrhynchos (mallard) is the source of this 2460-nucleotide long non-coding RNA. RefSeq lists it as uncharacterized. NCBI's taxonomy places the organism in Eukaryota, Metazoa, Chordata, Aves, Anseriformes, Anatidae. The record is from RefSeq and is a predicted model, not a curated record.